UGGAUCAUGGAGGAGAGACGAGGAUUACAGCAGGACCACGCAAAUAUGUCUGUUUCCUCACUCUGGAUCCAAACACAGCACACACUCAACUCAUUCUGUCUGAGGAGAACAGAGAGGUGAAGAGUGUGAGAGAGAAACAGCCGUAUCCUGAUCAUCCAGACAGAUUUGAUUAUCCUCAGGUGUUGUGCAGAGAGAGUGUGUGUGGACGCUGUUACUGGGAGAUUGACUGCAGUGGAGAUGAUUAUGGUGUGUGUAUAUCAGUGUCAUAUAAGAGCAUCAGGAGGAAGGGAAGAGGUGAUGAGUGUUGGUUUGGACGUAAUGCUCAGUCCUGGAGUUUGAUCUGCUUUUCCUCCAGUUUCUCAUUCAUACACAAUCACACACGCACUGAUCUCCCAGUAAAGCCGCUCAGCAGGAGAAUAGGAGUGUUUGUGGAUCACAGUGCAGGAACUCUGAUCUUCUACAACAUCUAUAGUGACACAAUGAGCCUCAUCCACUCAGUCCAGACCACAUUCACUGAGCCGCUCUGCCCUGGGUUUGGGCUUUAUCCUGGAUCA
Danio rerio (zebrafish) is the source of this 554-nucleotide non-coding RNA. NCBI's taxonomy places the organism in Eukaryota, Metazoa, Chordata, Actinopteri, Cypriniformes, Danionidae. The record is from Ensembl.